Jaculus jaculus (lesser Egyptian jerboa) is the source of this 70-nucleotide small nucleolar RNA. RefSeq annotates it as small nucleolar RNA SNORD113/SNORD114 family. The transcript has a single exon. The record is from RefSeq and is a predicted model, not a curated record. NCBI's taxonomy places the organism in Eukaryota, Metazoa, Chordata, Mammalia, Rodentia, Dipodidae.
UGGAUCGAUGAUGAGCAUGUGUGGCACAAGUCACGGAUGGUGACUGUAGGUCUGGAAGUCUGAGGUCCAU